RNAcentral lists this long non-coding RNA (158 nucleotides) under Meriones unguiculatus (Mongolian gerbil). RNAcentral describes it as "TTC28 antisense RNA 1 conserved region 1 (ENSMUGG00000024328.1)". It matches the Rfam family "TTC28 antisense RNA 1 conserved region 1". Lineage: Eukaryota; Metazoa; Chordata; Mammalia; Rodentia; Muridae. The record is from RNAcentral.
CCUUCGGCACACGAGGCCUUCACUGCGGCUGCGUGGGCUCUUGGCGCGCGCGUGAGAUUUGGACCGCGCCUGCGUGCACUCAGGGAGCGCUGGGGCUGCGUGCUCCCCGACGUCCUCCCGCCAGCUCCCUCAGGCCUCUGUGCAGCCUGUGUUUUCGA